CAGGCUUAACNACAUGCAAGUCGAGGGGGCAGCAUGUCCAGCAAUGGAUGAUGGCGACCGGCGGAAGGGUGCGUAACGCGUGAGCAACAUGCCCUAUACAGGGAGAUACACCAGGGAAACUUGGUCUAAUAUCCCAUAGCAUUCAUUGAAGGCAUCUUUAAUGAAUUAAAGCUUCGGUGGUAUAGGAUUGGCUCGCGUGACAUUAGCCAGAUGGUGAGGUAACGGCUCACCAUAGCAAUGAUGUCUAGGGGUUUUGAGAGGAAGGCCCCCCACACUGGGACUGAGACACGGCCCAGACUCCUACGGGAGGCAGCAGUGAGGAAUAUUGGACAAUGGAUGGAAAUCUGAUCCAGCCAUGCCGCGUGCAGGAAGACGGCCUUAUGGGUUGUAAACUGCUUUUAUACGGGAGCAAUAAGGGUUACGAGUAAUCCGAUGAGAGUACUGUAUGAAUAAGGAUCGGCUAACUCCGUGCCAGCAGCCGCGGUAAUACGGAGGAUCCGAGCGUUAUCCGGAAUUAUUGGGUUUAAAGGGUGCGUAGGCGGCCAUUUAAGUCAGCGGUGAAAUUUUGCAGCUUAACUGUAACAGUGCCGUUGAUACUGUUUGGCUAGGAUUUGGUUGUAGUGUGCGGAAUGUGUGGUGUAGCGGUGAAAUGCUUAGAUAUCACACAGAACACCGAUUGCGAAGGCAGCACACUAAGUCAUUAUUGACGCUGAGGCACGAAAGUGUGGGGAUCAAACAGGAUUAGAUACCCUGGUAGUCCACACUGUAAACGAUGAUAACUCGCUGUCGGCGAUACACAGUCGGGGCCAAGCGAAAGC
Molecule: ribosomal RNA, 818 nt
Filed under: uncultured bacterium
Lineage: Bacteria
Description: bacterial SSU rRNA
Rfam family: Bacterial small subunit ribosomal RNA
Source: RNAcentral